CCUUUCGCCUUGAUAACACUGAUAGAACCUUAGACUUGCGCAAUGCUUGUUGUUUUUUAAUUUCCCUCUUGUAUGCAAAUUCACCCCUUGGUGCAUGAUAGUGCUAUGUUAUUGUCCUUACUUUUCAGUUUUCACACACACACACAAAAAGGGAAAAUAUUAUAAAAACUCAAAUGCAAUGAUUUUACAAGAUUUAGCACAGGGAAAAACCCUUAAAAAUGGAAUGUUGAAAAGGAAAAUACAUACUUAAAGAAAUUUAAGUUGUUCAUCCUAUUGAAAUAUUAAUUAUUGAUCUUGCUUUGGACCAAUGCUAAAUCUUUCCAAAUUCACUGCAUAACUAAGUAAACAAAUAUAGCAUUACUUCAUAAACAAAUAUGACAUUACUUCUUUCUCCUCAUUUAUUGGUAUGCAAGAACAAAAAAGAAAAAGAGAGAUUGCCAAACCUUAUUGGAAGGAAAAACCAUAG
RNAcentral lists this unclassified non-coding RNA (466 nucleotides) under Hevea brasiliensis (rubber tree). The record is from RNAcentral. Lineage: Eukaryota; Viridiplantae; Streptophyta; Magnoliopsida; Malpighiales; Euphorbiaceae.